This 523-nucleotide ribosomal RNA is filed under the name uncultured bacterium. RNAcentral's name for it is "bacterial SSU rRNA". It matches the Rfam family "Bacterial small subunit ribosomal RNA", at positions 777 to 1300 of the family's 1533-position model. The record is from RNAcentral.
AAUAGAUACCCAGGUAGUCCACGCCGUAAACGGUGGGCACUAGAUGUGGGGCUCUUUCCAUGAGUUCCGCGUCGCAGCUAACGCAUUAAGUGCCCCGCCUGGGGAGUACGGCCGCAAGGCUAAAACUCAAAGGAAUUGACGGGGGCCCGCACAAGCGGCGGAGCAUGCGGAUUAAUUCGAUGCAACGCGAAGAACCUUACCAAGGCUUGACAUAUACGGUCUAUCCCUAGAGAUAGGGAGUGCUUCGGCGCCGUAUACAGGUGGUGCAUGGUUGUCGUCAGCUCGUGUCGUGAGAUGUUGGGUUAAGUCCCGCAACGAGCGCAACCCUCGUCCUAUGUUGCCAGCGGAUAAUGCCGGGGACUCAUGGGAGACUGCCGGGGUCAACUCGGAGGAAGGUGGGGAUGAGGUCAAAUCAUCAUGCCCCUUAUGUCUUGGGCUUCACGCAUGCUACAAUGGCCGGUACAAAGGGCUGCAAUACCGCGAGGUGGAGCGAAUCCCAAAAAGCCGGUCUCAGUUCGGAUUG